UACGUAGGUGGCAAGCGUUGUCCGGAAUUAUUGGGCGUAAAGCGCUCGCAGGCGGUUCUUUAAGUCUGAUGUGAAAUCUUGCGGCUCAACCGCAAACGUGCAUUGGAAACUGGAGGACUUGAGUGCAGAAGAGGAGAGUGGAAUUCCACGUGUAGCGGUGAAAUGCGUAGAGAUGUGGAGGAACACCAGUGGCGAAGGCGACUCUCUGGUCUGUAACUGACGCUGAGGAGCGAAAGCGUGGGGAGCGAACAGG
RNAcentral lists this non-coding RNA (253 nucleotides) under uncultured bacterium. Its description in RNAcentral is "partial 16S ribosomal RNA". It matches the Rfam family "Bacterial small subunit ribosomal RNA", at positions 524 to 776 of the family's 1533-position model. RNAcentral also lists the same sequence under 1 other name. The record is from RNAcentral.